GUGCAGAUCAGCAGAGAUGGCAGAAGCUUCUGUGGCUGUUGAGUUACAGGUGUGUCUGCAGGGAGGACUUGUCCAGCUCCUUUGCUGAUUCCUACACAGAAGCCUGGCAACCAUCGAAGGGGUCCUCUGAGGGGGAAGGACCAAGCUACAGGACACCAGAAACUCCAUGAUCCAUGUGAAAACAUGAGGCAAAUGCUGAAGGAAAUGCAGCAGGCAGGAGAAGAAGUGGAUGCAGAGGCUGGGCAUGAGGCGGCAUUUCCCAGAGGAAGCAGUGGUUCCGUGCCAGCCUCUGCUGCAGGAAGAGAGGCGAUGCCAGGC
Molecule: long non-coding RNA, 318 nt
Organism: Passer domesticus (house sparrow)
Lineage: Eukaryota; Metazoa; Chordata; Aves; Passeriformes; Passeridae
Exons: 3
Source: RefSeq, a predicted model, not a curated record